GACACACUUACAGGUUGACCCCCUACCUACACACUUACAGGUUGACCCACUACCUACACACUUACAGGUUGAUCCCCUAACUACACACUUACAGGUUGAUCCCCUAUCUACACACUUACAGGUUGAUCCCCUAUCUACACACUUACAGGUUGAUCCCCUAUCUACACACUUACAGGUUGAUCCCCUAUCUACACACUUACAGGUUGAUCCCCUAUCUACACACUUACAGGUUGAUCCCCUAUCUACACACUUACAGGUUGAUCCCCUACCUACACACUUACAGGUUGAUCCCCUAUCUACACACUUACAGGUUGAUCCCCUAUCUACACACUUACAGGUUGAUCCCCUAUCUACACACUUACAGGUUGAUCCCCUAUCUACACACUUACAGGUUGAUCCCCUAUCUACACACUUACAGGUUGAUCCCCUAUCUACACACUUACAGGUUGAUCCCCUAUCUACACACUUACAGGUUGAUCCCCUAACUACACACUUACAGGUUAACCCCCUACCUACACACUUACAGGUUGAUCCCCUAUCUACACACUUACAGGUUAACCCCCUACCUACACACUUACAGGUUAACCCCC
Molecule: long non-coding RNA, 590 nt
Organism: Oncorhynchus keta (chum salmon)
Lineage: Eukaryota; Metazoa; Chordata; Actinopteri; Salmoniformes; Salmonidae
Exons: 5
Source: RefSeq, a predicted model, not a curated record